GCUAAUAUAAACUGCAAGGAAGUCUUGAUCAGUAUUUCUGCUUCUGCCAGGCUCCGUGACACUUCAGUGGAAGGACAUUACAUUGCUGGUUCCAUGGAUACACGAGGUCCACGAGAAGGCACAGGACAUGAAGAGAGCUUCAAGGAAUGUGGUUUCGUCUUUCUCCGGGUUUCUACUUGUAUGGAAUAUUGACAGAUAAUAGCAGAAAGCUGUUUCUUCCUGUCUGUGCAGGUCCAUGAUCGGUUGAAUAUGAAGAUGUGGAGGCCCUGCCCAGAGCCCAGAAGUCCAGACAGCCUGGGAGACAAGCAGGAGUUGGAGCCCAAGUAGGAGAGAGAGGAGAAGCCUACUGCAGCCCAGUGUGUCCUUGACCCUAUUCAGGAGGUAAGGACAAGCAGGAG
Molecule: long non-coding RNA, 398 nt
Organism: Budorcas taxicolor (takin)
Lineage: Eukaryota; Metazoa; Chordata; Mammalia; Artiodactyla; Bovidae
Exons: 4
Source: RefSeq, a predicted model, not a curated record